Molecule: ribosomal RNA, 216 nt
Filed under: Glomeromycotina sp.
Lineage: Eukaryota; Fungi; Glomeromycota
Description: partial small subunit ribosomal RNA
Rfam family: Eukaryotic small subunit ribosomal RNA (bases 75-216)
Source: RNAcentral
GGGUCAGUAGGUCGGUCGUGCCACCGGUACGUACUGGUCUCACUGAUUCCUCCUUCCUGAAGAACCGUAACGCCAUUAAUUUGGUGUUGCGGGGAAACAGGACUGUUACUUUGAAAAAAUUAGAGUGUUUAAAGCAAGCUAACGCUUGAAUACAUUAGCAUGGAAUAAUGAAAUAGGACGAUCGACCCUAUUUUGUUGGUUUCUAGGAUUGACGUA